This 253-nucleotide ribosomal RNA is filed under the name uncultured bacterium. RNAcentral describes it as "partial 16S ribosomal RNA". It matches the Rfam family "Bacterial small subunit ribosomal RNA", at positions 524 to 776 of the family's 1533-position model. The record is from RNAcentral.
UACGAAGGGGGCUAGCGUUGCUCGGAAUCACUGGGCGUAAAGCGCACGUAGGCGGAUUGUUAAGUCAGGGGUGAAAUCCUGGAGCUCAACUCCAGAACUGCCUUUGAUACUGGCGAUCUCGAGUCCGGGAGAGGUGAGUGGAACUGCGAGUGUAGAGGUGAAAUUCGUAGAUAUUCGCAAGAACACCAGUGGCGACGGCGGCUCACUGGCCCGGUACUGACGCUGAGGUGCGAAAGCGUGGGGAGCAAACAGG